GACGAACGCUGGCGGCGUGCUUAACACAUGCAAGUCGAGCGGUAAGGCCCUUUCGGGGGUACACGAGCGGCGAACGGGUGAGUAACACGUGGGUGACCUGCCCUCAGCUCUGGGAUAAGCCUGGGAAACCGGGUCUAAUACCGGAUAUGACUCCAUGACGCAUGUUGUGGGGUGGAAAGCCUUGUGCGGCUGAGGAUGGGCCCGCGGCCUAUCAGCUUGUUGGUGGGGGAUGGCCUACCAAGGCGACGACGGGUAGCCGGCCUGAGAGGGCGACCGGCCACACUGGGACUGAGACACGGCCCAGA
This 305-nucleotide ribosomal RNA is filed under the name uncultured bacterium. RNAcentral describes it as "bacterial SSU rRNA". It matches the Rfam family "Bacterial small subunit ribosomal RNA", at positions 28 to 335 of the family's 1533-position model. The record is from RNAcentral.